GUGGGGAAUCUUAGACAAUGGGGGCAACCCUGAUCUAGCCAUGCCGCGUGAGUGAUGAAGGCCCUAGGGUUGUAAAGCUCUUUCAGCUGGGAAGAUAAUGACGGUACCAGCAGAAGAAGCCCCGGCUAACUCCGUGCCAGCAGCCGCGGUAAUACGGAGGGGGCUAGCGUUGUUCGGAAUUACUGGGCGUAAAGCGCACGUAGGCGGACCGGAAAGUUGGGGGUGAAAUCCCGGGGCUCAACCUCGGAACUGCCUUCAAAACUAUCGGUCUGGAGUUCGAGAGAGGUGAGUGGAAUUCCGAGUGUAGAGGUGAAAUUCGUAGAUAUUCGGAGGAACACCAGUGGCGAAGGCGGCUCACUGGCUCGAUACUGACGCUGAGGUGCGAAAGCGUGGGGAGCAAACAGG
RNAcentral lists this ribosomal RNA (405 nucleotides) under uncultured Paracoccus sp. Its description in RNAcentral is "bacterial SSU rRNA". It matches the Rfam family "Bacterial small subunit ribosomal RNA", at positions 354 to 776 of the family's 1533-position model. Lineage: Bacteria; Pseudomonadati; Pseudomonadota; Alphaproteobacteria; Rhodobacterales; Paracoccaceae. The record is from RNAcentral.